Long non-coding RNA from Homo sapiens (human), 1191 nucleotides. Ensembl annotates it as long intergenic non-protein coding RNA 2613. NCBI's taxonomy places the organism in Eukaryota, Metazoa, Chordata, Mammalia, Primates, Hominidae. The record is from Ensembl.
GGGCGCCUGCGCGCCUACCAUGACAAGCCAUUUCAGGCGAGCCGAGCCCCAGAGCCAUGUGUCUGGUGCGCAGUGUUAACAGGGCAGUUAUACCUUUUACAGACAACUGUGGCUCCAAGUCAAGUAUGAACUUACACAAACAGUUUAUAUAACAAGUGGAGGUGUGCGCCUGCGUGCCAAACUUGCUGACUCGUGCAGGCCUGGAUACCCGCCUCAGACUAUUCCUUGACCGAAGCACUUCCAGGGCAGGAAACUGAAGCUCUUGGGAAGGUGGAAGUUGCACGUGGUCUCACAGUCAACUGUGCCAGAAUAGGAGGCCAGGAACCAUCUCUGCUGGAGGAAGACCCACCACGCAUCCCUUCAAGAAUGCCAAGGUCCAGAGCAAGUGCUUCCCUUCUAUGGGCACAGGAGGGCUGUGGGAGCCCACAGAAUGUGCUUCUGGCCAGAGUGGGAUCCCCGAGGAAGAUGUUAAGACCUCUAAUAAUAUUUAAGAGCAAAAUUAGCACAGCUCCAGCCCAUGGGCAAGUUAAGAGACAGGAGUAGUGUCUGUGGAGUGGAGGAAAGCAGAGGCUGCCGCUGACCAUCCUGCAGCCCUCGCUCUGGCUGCUCACAGCUCUCCACCUUCUCUGGACUUCGUCACUUCAGUAUGUGAAACAACCAUUUCAACCAGCUUGGACAAAAGAGAGAAGCCAAGAUGGGGCUGAGAAACCAAUGCAGGCAGGCCCAGGGACCCAGGAGUCAGGGACCAGGUGCUACCAGAUGCUUGCUCCGACUCGUGUUGCUGCUGUCUUCUCUGUGCCUCAACUCUGUCCUCUGUCACUGCAGGCAGCUUCCUCCCAAGGUGAGGUGCCUUGCUUUCCCUUUGCCUUCCACCAGGAUUGUAAGUUUCCUGAGGCCUUCCCAGCCAUGCAGAACGAUCUCCAUGGGAUAACCACAUUGGUUUGUUUAGUAAACACUGAGACCAACUCCACCAUCCAGAGGCCUGACAGACAAAUGGCCUGAGACAGGGCUGGGAAAGUUUUGCUUCUGGUUGGGACUUCAGGAAGAGUUUUGUUUUGUUUUGUUUUCCCCCAAGGGAACAAGCCCUUGAAUCCGGGAGGCCAAGGUUGCGGUGAACCGAGAUUGCGCCAUUGCACUCCAGCCUGGGCAACAAGAGCGAAACUCCGUCUCAAAAACAUAAAAAGUAAAAAA